UUGAGUUGUGAGUUGCAACCACUGAGAUAAAUUAUGAAACUUUUCAUGAAAUAUCACCAAAUUUUUUUAUUGUAAGUGUCCCUCUCCAUGGAAAAAUUAAAGAACAUAUUGUCUUUGUUGAGUUAUGGCAAAAGCCAUAAAUAUUCAUUCCAUGAGUAUCUCAUAACAUGUAUAAUUAGCAAAUACCUCAAAUUCAUGCCAAUGUUUGUGUGUGGAUGCUAUGGAAUAUGCAAUGACAUUUAGGGAUAUUCUAAGAAUCUUUGUUGCAAUUUCCUAUUUGUACCUCUCCUGUAAAAACUAAAAUAAAAUAAAUAAAAUUAAAUGAACUUUUUUGCAUUUCUUUCUUGAUGAGAAAAUAUUCAGUGCCUUUGUUUUAUCUGGAACCACUUCAACACUAGGAGUUGGAUGUCAAAAUUAAAAAUUGGUAAAGUAUUUAUUGUUCUAGGAAAACUAAACCUUGCCAUUCAUGCCAUCUCACAUCAACACUAGGAGUUGGAUGCCAAAAAUGAAAAUUGGGAAGUGUUUAUUGUUCAAGGAAAACUAAACCUUUGCCUUAACAGCUAUCAGUUUCCUUAAAGAUUCUCAACUCAAAUGACUGUUUUCCCUUACUUUAUUAUUCUUCACAGCUCACUCUACAAAUCUUUCUUGUAAAUCCUUUGAGGCAAACUUUUGUUUAAGCUAGCCCACAAGUGUCAAAAAGCAUGUGGAAUAAUGAAUUUGUGAAAUAAUGAAAGAAGUAGAUCAAGAAAAGUAGGAGAUUUCAAUUGAAGUUAUUACAAAUUGUCAACCACUAUUACCAACUUUGAAAGGAACAGAAAAAAUACCAAUAAAUUAAACACCAAUACUCAUUUGAGUUAUAGGAUUGUGCAACAAAGAUCUUCAUCAAUACAUUCAAUUAAAAUAAGUUGAUCCGAUUUCAAGGUUUAAUAUAAGUUUUAAAUAAGCUUUUUUAUUCAAAGGAUUUAUAUUGUCUAUUACUAUAUCAGCAUAAUAUUCAUCUUAUAACUAGUUCUUGUUAAAGGUGUAGGAUUUUUAAUUCCAAGGAACUUAUACUACCAAAGAGGGAAGAGGGAAAUUAGAGAUUUUUCAAGAGCAUACAGUGAAAUUUGUGUGGGUUUUGAAUGUUUAGAAAAUCCUUUUUAGUUCAAAAUGAUUAUUAUUUUUCCCUUAAUGAGAUAGCUUUUUAAUUUUUCUUUUCAUCUUUACAAUCCCCUAGCUUGUCUGAAGAUGACACAACAUGAAUGCAAGGUGAUACCACGUCAAUAUGGUGACAUGAUAUCAUGGAGGCAUCGGAUCCUUGUGAUUUGAGUCUCUCACCCAACUCAAAUACCUAAUACAAUCCUUUUCAGUUAUAAGAAUAAGGAUUCUAAAUAAGAUUUAUCCUUCAGAUAAUUUUUCUCCCUACAAUUGACUCUUCAUUUGAUAACUAAAUUUUACUCCUAACAAAUAUUAUUGAUUUGCAAAUUUGUUAUUGAUUUGGUAUUUAAUUUUUUUUUUUUUUUUAGUUUUUAGUAUGAAGAUGUAAAAAUGUCUUCAUACUAAAAUGUUAUUUGCCAAAAAAAUAUUUACUAAAAAAUAUUCUCGUUAUGAAAGUACAAAACUGUUUUCAUGCUAAAAUGUUACUUAUAGAAAGUUCCCAAAAAAAAAUUUACUUGUAAAAAAAGUGUUGAUAAGAUGGUAUAAACGUGUUAUCUAAUAUAUUUCACAUCUGAAAAAAAAAGAGGUACCCAAGAAAGAGAAGAUUUAAUAUAAUAAUCUAUGGUGGUUGUUGUUGUUGUUGUUAUUAUUAUUAGGGAUACCAUAUAAUAAAUAUUUAUUAUUAUUGAAUCAGAGUUAUUAUGUAAGCAUUAUCUGAUAAUGUUUGAAUUUAAUUGAUACAUUAUUGAAUGUAGUAACAUUCCUUGAGAUUCUAUUCAAGUCUCCAUUCGGUGAUGAUAGGUUCUAUUAGUUUGUCUAAAUUUAUAAAUUAAUAUUUUAUCAAAAUAUCAUUUGAUAUUCCAUGUUUCCAAAGGGUCCUGAUAUUUUGAUCCUUGUUUGUCCCACUAACCAUGCAUCUAAGUGACAUUAGCAUACCUCUUGCGGUAAAACUGUUCCUCCCUCUACAAUUGGUGUAGAAUAUAAGUUUUCAAGAGCAUUCUAUUUUCAGAAUGCCUGUUGCAAUUGGUUUUACUGAUAGAUAUUUUGCUGCCAGUCAGUAUGCUGGGCCUGGUUACUUUGGCUAACACUUUUUGUAGACAUGGGUCCAGGCAGCAUUCUAUUAGCCACAAUCAAUAACAAACACCAGUUAUCACCUUCAAAGAUGUACAAAAGUUGGUUAAAAAGAAACCAACACCACAACAAAAUCAUUUCCUUCUCAGAAGGGGUAAAACCCUCUGGAUGGAAGAACAAUAUACACUCGAGGGGAAAGAAAGUAUCCAACAAAAGAAGCCAAGUGCAUUGCUUCUUGUUUAGUGAACUGGUAAGCAACUUAAUUAGCUGAACAAGGAACCCAAGAAAAAAAGCAACCCAAAAUAUCUAUGAUUUUUCGCAUCUAGUUGGCAAACUUCCAUGAACCUUUCUCCCUUUUGGACACCCAAGAUAUUACAAUAGUAGAAUCUCUUUCCACAAAUAGCUUGGAUAGACAAAGUUUUAGCCUAGUGUAAACCCUUAAAUAAUGCUAAUAUCUCUGCCUCAAUAGCCAACCCUUGUUUUGCAUGCUUAGAGUAAACUCUCAACACUACUUGAAUGAUCUCUAGUAACUCCUCCUAUACCCAAUUGUGUAGGAUUGCCUAGAGAACAUUUGUCAAAAUUUAACUUUAUCAACCCAUUGGAGGGGUAACCAAUCUAUCAUUACUUUCCUCUUUGACCUGUUUGAGCAGCAAGGAUUCUUCUAAUCUGGCAAUGACAUAUAUAAAGGAAAACCUGCAAAAGGUUUUGUGACUAAGGUCCAUAGGGAGAAAAAAAAACGUAAAUCAAAUCUCAAAUGGCAUCUACAAAUCUCCAUUUGUCUUCAAAUAUCCUUGCUUUCCUUUCUAACCAAAUCAAGGAUAAAACAGCCAUCUGUCAAAGAAUCUUAUCUCUAGGUAGGCUGCCAAAGCCUUUAAGGGAGAUUCCCAACAUCUUUGGCUAAGCCUCCAAGAGGAGUCCAUUCGAGAUUGGCUAUGCUGAAUGGUCUAUGCCAAUGUUGUAGUGCAGUGGGACAGUUAAAAAAAAUAUGAUUAGCUGAUUCACUACUCUUCAAAACACAUAAUUCAUUGAUCUAGGCAAAGUGUUUUGUAGGGCUUCCUCAAUUGAAGCAAGUCAUUGGUAUUAACCAUCUUAUUAACCACAAGCCAAGCAAAAACGUUAACUUUUGGUGGAGCAGCUUUUGAGUUCCAUAUUACCUUAGCAGGAGCAAAAGGGGGCAAAACAGGAGAGGCAUGCAAGGUUGAGAAAGCUUACAGAAAGCUCAUCGAGAAAAGACUUGAGGGAAUCAAAGAAUAAACGUGAGGGAAGGCUCAUAGAAAGAUUUACGCCCCUCUAUGCAUUAUUUUGGACAAUUGGAAGGAAAGGAAUUGAACAGUGUUUGAAAGUGAGGAGCAGCUGGUUCAAGCACUAAGAGUAUGUUAAGUUCUCUUAUUUCCCCAAUAGAUUAUGAUGGCUUGUUAGUUAAAGUAGGUGCAUAGCAUAUAUGGCUCAGGCACAUCUUUGAAUUUGUGUACUGCAAAGUAGAUGAAGGAUUAGAUAGCACUAGCUAUAAUGCAUACAUGGGUAGCUGGAGAACCACUCAUAAAUGAAUGUGCCAACCAAAAAACAAUCAGCAUUCUAGUUUUUUGUUAGGAAAUUGAAACUAACAUAAUCCAUAAGUUUAGAAAAGCUGGUUCUGCUGAAACGUAGCUGAUGAUAACAGUAAUAAUAAACUUGGACCAAUUCUGUGCAAUAAUUCUGGAGGUUCAUUUUUGUUUUCCCUGGAAAGCAUGAAGCUAAAGAAAAUAUCUGAAUUGGUGUAGGUGGUGGAAUUGAUUUUUUUCUUCUCCUUUGUUCCCUAGUGGUAGUAUUUGGAGAUCGAGUGCACCUUCUAAGGUGGCUUUCUUUACUUGGGAAGCUUCUUGGGGAAAAGUCUUAACUUUGGACCAACUUCAAAGGAGGGGGCACUUCUUGGCAAAUAGGUGUUUUCUUUGUCUCUCUGAAGUAGAGACGGUUGAUCACCUUCUUCUUCAUUGUGCAAAGACUCGAGUUCUUUGGAAUCUUCUUUUCUCCCUCUUUGGUGUGUCUUGGAUUCUUUCUUGUUCACUUAAGGAAACUCUUCUUGGGUGGCAUGGGUCGUUUGUGGGUAAAGCUCGUAAAAAACUUGGCAAACGACCCCCUUAUGUAUAUUUUGGACAGUAUAGAAGGAAAGGAAUUUGCUAGUGUUAAGUAAUGAGGAGCUUUCGCUCCAAAGAUUGAAAAUUUCUUUUGUAUGUAACCUAUGGUCUUGGGUUAAGGGUGUCCAUAGAUUUGAGCCCUUUUUCACUUGUAAGCUUUAUUGAUUGGUUAGGUUUUAAGUAAGGGCAGAUGAUGUUUUUUGUUUCUAUCCUUCCCCCUUUGGUUUGAGCCUUUUGGCUUCUAUUGUAUACUUCUUGUAUACUCUAAGGGCACUAUUUUUGGUGUCCCCUCUUUUCUUUAUAUACAACUUUUCCUUAUCUAUAAAAAAAAGAAAAAAUGAUUUUUUUUCUCAUAUUUUAGUUUCUGAUUUGUUAUUUUCUAUUUUGGUUUUUUCAACAAUAUGAUCACUAUGGUUGAGCAGAUAUUCGUAAUUAUUUACAGGAUUCAAUGUGGAGACCGUGGAAUACAAGAACAUUAGCUUCACCGUGUGGGAUGUCGGGGGUCAGGAUAAGGUAUUAAUAUUUGUCUAUGAACCAUAUUCUGCUAUUCAUUUCAUAUUUCAGAAUAUAUUUAUAUAUAGCCAUUAUUUCUGUAAGAUUUUUACUGUCUCUCUUUCUUUCUGUCAUGCCGUAUCUCAUUGACAAAGUUACUGCUAAAAUCUUUAUCCAUAUAAUGGCUAAAAAAUGCAGUUUGAUUCUUAUACAGAUUCGUCCAUUGUGGAGGCACUACUUCCAAAACACUCAGGGUCUUAUAUUUGUGGUGGAUAGCAAUGACAGAGAUCGAGUUGUCGAGGCCAGGGAUGAGUUGCACAGGAUGCUGAAUGAGGUAUCUUACUUUUUAGUAAAAUCUAUCUGUGUAUAACAUUCAUAGUCAUCAGACAAGAACUGAUGUUCAGGCCAGCCAAGAGGCCAGGAGCAUUAGUUAAUCUGUCAGUCACUCCAUUGAACUAUGGCAGUAUGAAGUAUUUAUCUUUUAGAAAGCAAAUAAUUGCCGAGACAGAAUUUUGAUUUGAAAAAUUGCACCUCAAAUACCAUUUGAGGUGCUUGUUGCUUUCUGAAAUAAUCUUUGAAUUAGUAAUUUCAAUUAACUUUUAAAUAUUAUUGUCAUUUUGGAAGGCAAUAUAGCUAGCUGGAAAGGCUUGUCUGGGAGAGGUUUGCUAUAACUGUUUGCUCUCUCAAAAUAGGUUACAGUAGCAAUUUUAUGGUUAGGGUCCAUCUUAAUUUUCUUGUUAGCAUGGUAGCACCUUAUGAAACAUGUUAUGUUGCAUGAUAUGCUGUUGAUGAAUAUUGGGGUAUAUUGGAUGAAGGAAUUAAAUUGAAGCAAGAGCAAAUGGCAUUUUUGCAGCAUCACUUAAGCAUGUUACUGGAUGGUAUUCUGUUGAGUCGUAUUGAUUUUUCUACAACGAAGUAAUGAAGGGGACAUGAAUUAUAACCAUUAGUAAUAAUAAUAAUGCUGGUUAAUUUAAUCUGGCCAAAAACAAGUGGCAGAUGCCUUAUGAUGUGCAUAUUGGGGUUUGUGCAUAGAUUGUAGUUUAGCUAAAAGAUGGCCAAGAGGAUUUGGCCAAUGAAAUCUUUGACCAGUCCAUGAUGUUGUGCUGGCUGCAUAAGCAGGUGCUAGACAGCAAUUUGUUUGUGUUAUUACUUGUUAAGAAGAGCAUGGAACUAGGAACGGCUUUUUGUGGCAUCAUUUACUUGCAAUACACUAUUUCUAAAGCUAUUUUUUUUUUUUGCAUGGCUGCCAUUUUUUUCAUGUCUUUGUUAGUGGGAGGAGGCAACAGAAACAUUUAUUUGACCAUUCCAGUUUUCAGUUACAUAUCGAAAACUUAAAAUAAAGUGGGAACCAAAAGAAUAAUGUUAAAUGAUUUCUGAUUUCAGGAUGAGCUCCGUGAGGCUGUGCUGCUUGUAUUUGCUAACAAACAAGAUCUCCCUAAUGCUAUGAAUGCUGCCGAGAUAACUGAUAAGCUUGGCCUCCACUCUCUCCGGCAGCGUCACUGGUAAAUUUUCUGGCUGUACUGCCAUCUAAUAGUUUAUUUUAUAGUCUCUAUCUUGUCUUAAAAGUCCUACUGCUAUCCGGUUUCUAAUUUUGCUUAUAUGGUCUUUCCAGGUACAUCCAGAGCACCUGUGCAACCUCUGGUGAAGGGCUUUACGAGGGAUUGGAUUGGCUCUCCAACAAUAUUGCUAACAAGGUAUGAAUUCAAAAAUUCUUUCCGUCCUAUAAACAAAGUUUUAGGGCCAGAAUAUGAGACUUCAAUUUGACCAUCUAAUUAUUGGACUCUUCCAUCAUUAAUUACUGUCCGCAACCUUUUGAUGCUCAAGUUCACUUAGAUUGAACCAACUAUCAGUGCUAUUUCCAAGAGAGAACUUUAUAAAGAUGAACCUUGAGGUGGUGACUUAUGUUUCUAUUAUUUUCUUCCCCCAUUCUCCUCAUGAUAUUUUCCCCUAUGGUUGCAGGCUUGAGGCAACUGUGGAGUCUGUUCCUGUGGAUGGGCGGUCCUGGAUGCAGGGGUGAAUAUUAUCUAGUCAUCUUCGUUUUUAUUCGUUUUUUUUUCCUUUCCUUUUUAUAUUUUUCCUUGAGACAGUUGGCUUGUGGUAAUGCUUUUUUCAUGAGGAAGCGUUUAUUUAGAACAACAUAUUUGUAAUAGAAGAAUGGUUGGUUGGAUAUACAUAUACUUAACAAGUUUUUGUGGGGGCUGUGGAUGUCACACUUGUAGCUGGUACCGAAACUAAUUUGGUGUACAUCCCAUUUUGAAAUGGAUUUUUAUAAUAUUAUAGGCGUUGUUUCGUUUAAUUCCAUAAUUUUCAAUUGUUGGCAUGAUAGAUGAGACAAUCCGCAGGUAUUCAUUGCAUGCAGUUAUUUCAAUGAUCUCUCAAAUGCAUGGGAUGGUUUUUUAUUUUAUUUUAUUUUGAGACUCCUUCAGUGUAUUGUAUACCUCGCCAAUGUUUAAUUUUUUUGGAAAUACCCUCUAUUGUCAAAUUCCUCCUCCAAUAUUCUAAGCAAUUCUACAUGCUUUUUCAAAAUUACAGAUAUAUUUGGACACUCAAAUUUGUGAAGCUGUUCAGAAAUCCUGCUUGUUAUUUAACCUAUUUUAUGAAUAUUUUACAAAACUAAGAAAUGUUGAAUUACCCUUUUUCUUAUGAUUGUUACUUUCUUUUAAUCUUCAUUUAAGGACAUGUUUGUUUAUAAAAUGAAUCUAAUUCCUAUAAGCAAUUGAUGGAAUACUGAAAAGUAGUCAACCCUGUAGAUGAGAAAAUGUUGAAAGGAUGAUUGGCAUGAAAUCAUAUUAUACCAAAACGGUUCUCAAAAGCAUGGACAUGUUUGAUUGAAAAACAAUUGUUUGUUCUCAAGCAAACAAUUUAUUUUAAAAUGCUUAAGCAUUUUGGGUAAUUGUUAUUGAAUUUUUUUGUUUAAAAAUAUGUUUGACAAAAUAAAUUUAAGAAUAUUUCUUCUAAAAAAAGGUUACAAAUUUUGUAGGAUUAUAUAAAUUGAUAAUAGUACAAAAAAUAAUAGAACAUUGAAUAAUUAUCCUUCCAGUUUUUCAAUAUUAGUUUGGUUGUUUAUUUUGUAAUUUUAUUAUUUUUUUCAAAUCUAAAAUUGGAUAAAUUUGUAAAUUGUACAAAAUAGAAUGUAGAAGAUUGAUUUCAAUUGGUGUGUGAGAUAUGAAGGGUAGAAGACCCUUUUAUGGACCUACAACAUUUCUCUAGUCAACCAAAUCAUUAAGAUAAACUUUUUGCUAUUAAUCAUGGUAUCAUUUUUCUCAUUACACUUUCAAACAAAUAAUACAUAUUGGUAUCCAAUGGGUUUUAAUAUCUUUAGGUGUAUGAAUUAUAAGUCCAAAUACUUCUUUUUUUAUUAACAAGUUUAACUCUAUAUGAAUGACUUUUUUCCAUUUUGACUAAUCAUUUUGUGUUGACAUUCUUCCAUUGUGAUUCAAGAUCCUCAUCAUUCUAUAUAAUGUCAAAGGCUACUUGGAAAACGAAAAUAUUAUUAAUAACAUUCUUUCAAUCCCAUUUUUCUCUGGUAUGUAUAUAGCUCAUAGAGAUUUUACUAGUUUUAGGUAUUUAUACCUUUUUAAGGGUUACUCAUUCAAUUUUUACAUUUUUAUGAGCUAGCCUCUCUAAGGACUAUCUAUUUCAUUUGUAUCUUUUCAGGAGCUAUAGGUUCAUCAAUUUUAGACUAAUCAUCAUUUUUGUGGCUUCUUCAAGAGUAUCAAGUGUUUAUUGUGUUUUUCUCUUUUAGGGAUUAAAACCUUUGAGCUUAACAAGUUUACCAUGUUUUAAGUGUGUCUUAAAUUCAUUUGUUAACUAUCAUAUAAGGAUAUCAAUCCUUGUAGGAGUAUUUGUAAUCGGGAUAUGUAACUUUGUUACUUUAUUUGUUCAAUGAAACCCUAGAAAAUCGGGAUAUGAGAAAACACUGAAACCCAAAUGUUUGACAACCCCAUCAAACCAUUUCAUAAUUACUUCCUAAACCUCUAAUGAUAAUUUCCCAUUGCCUUAAUCGAACACUAACUUAGCACUUCCACAACCACACUUCCAAAUAACUAUUUUUUUUAAAAAACAUUUGAAAAUUUUUGUAAACUUCCAUCAAUUCUCAAUAUUUUGAACUUGUAUACUUAAAAGCCUUAGUUUGAAGUUUUAAACUUGUUGAAUAUACUAUAAAAAUGUCUUUCCAUGAUUAUUGUUGAAUAAUAUUAACCCAAUAUCGACAAUUAUUUGAUCGUAAGCCAUAACACAACUUAACGUUAGUGGGUCAAAACCCUAAAAAUUCAAAUUGGUGUAAACAAGUAUUCCAAAUAAACCCUAGAAAGUGAAAUCACAUAAAAUAAGAUUUCUCGAAUUUAAAUGAAAAAAUUAUAAGUAUUUGACAUACGAUAAAAAUACGAUGAUGAAAAUGUCUUGAUGACACAACAUCAAUAAUAGAGACACCCCAAUGAUGAUGAGAAAAGAAAGGUUUAAGAGGGCAAUGAUGGGGAAACAAAAGUGCAAAAUAUGACUUUUACAACCAUGAAGACAACCUGAUGUUGAGGAGAAACAAAAGGCUUGGGUGGAGAAGGCACCAUGACGACAAAAGUGCAAAUAACUUUUUCCCUUUUUUUUUUUUUUCAAAAAGUUAUAAUUUUAUUAUAGUCAAAGAGUAAAUCUGCAUGAUAAAAAUAUAAGGUAAGAAUUAUCAAAUUAGGUAACCCUUUGGAUUCAUUUUCACCCUAAUCCACCUUAUUGGUAAUUCUCUCUUUUAAAAAUAAAAAGUAAACACAUGUGAUAUUUAGGAAUUUUUUCUAAAUUUUUAAUUCCAAAAAAAAAAUUGAAAACUAACAAUUUAAUAAAUUUUCAACAAAAUUAUUAAGAUAUAUGAUUGUUCAUUCAAUGAUGUAAUUAAGUGAUAAAAAAAUCAAUGAAAUAGGAUCCCAAAUUCCAGUUAAGGAUUUUUCAUACCCUUUAAGAACAAUCCAUUCAAAUUACGGAUUUCUAUUUAUUUUAUCAUUCAAUAAUUCAUAAUGAUAUUUUGAUUACUAAAUAUUUGCAACUUAAACUUUAGAAGUUUUUUUCUACUCAUCUAUACUUUAGAUUUACAUGGCAAUGCAACAUGUAAAUAUUUUUUGAAAAAUAUUUUUCUUUAUUUGAGUGUGAGAAGGUGACCAUUUUCAUUGGUGCCUAAAGUAAGAGAAAAAGACCCAAUAUUGGAAAAAAUAAAAUAAAAUCCUUGAACCACCUUUCUUAUAAUUGGAAAUUAGUUUUUAGGAAUCAUUUGCUAUCUUUUUUUUUUUUAAAUAAAAACUAAUACUAACUUUUUUAUAAGAUACAAAAAAUUUUAAUGACUUAUAUUUAAAAAAUAAUAGUUUUAAAAACUAUUUAAAAAAAUUAAAGUAUUAAAAAAAUUUUACUACCUUAAAUUUAAUUUUUUUUAAAAAUAAGGUAAGUCAUUAAUACUUUAUUUUUUAUAUCUUAUAUAUAUAUAUAUAUACUUAAUUUCUCUAUGUAUCUACUUUAUUUUCAUACCCAACCUAAAACAUAAAAUUUCUUAAUACAUUUAUCUAAGUAUUUUUUUAUAUAUUUAAAAGAUUUUUCUCAUUCUUCUCUUUCAUACCACAUAUUUCUAAGUUCAAAAAAGUGAAAAUAAUACGAAAGGUAAUUAAAAUUAUAUAUCUAAACUUUAAACAUUAUUAAAGAUGAUGGACUACUUAGAAAAAGGUAAUUUUUUUUUUCCUUUUUCCUUCUCCAAAUGAGAGAAUAGACACCCUCUGGUGGUGGUGGUUGUGAAGGAUGGUGGUAGCACUAUGAUUUGAACUUCGCAUAGAUGUGUGGGAGGCUCCCAUCCACGUGUCAAUCCAUGUGUCACUCCCUUCAGUACUGUUCGAAUAACUACUACAGUGUCCAGAGCCUUCCAUUUGGACCACACAGGCAUACGACAAAUGGCAUUAGACCCCUUAAGCAGACAAUGUCUUCCAAUCAGCCUUCAAGUCCCAUUUACUACAUGUAAUCAUUUCCAUUUGACAUAGAAGUGGCUGAUGGGACCUUCAAUAAUCCUUACGUCCAUGUCAAUGGAUUAUCACACAUUGCCCUAUACCUCCAGUAAGUUGAAAUGGCGGAUAAUUGCAUCAUAACACAACUUCUGAUGGCACCUACUAGCCGCCUAAAACUGUAAUAAUUGUCCUACCACGACAACCAUUAUUACUGAGAAAGUCAAAGUGUAUAUUCAGCACUACAACGACUUUCUCUUGAGCACGAUAAAAAACCCUCUUGAAACAUAACCCAGGUAUGCGCGCUUAAGCUGACCUAUUCAUUCUCUGUUGCUGGAUGGAAGUUCUGAGAGACACAACACAAGGAGGAUUUGAUCUUAGUUGACCUCGCGUCAACAAGAUGGGCAACUGAGGUGGGUAUGAGGAGGGUACUGUAGGGACCCCUCCUCCUGAGAACACGUGCCACACACCUCAUGGUGACACGUGGCACGCAUUAUCAUCCGGAUCACCCUCAUCUGGAUUUCCCUAAAAAUACACGUGGCGCGCUUCUCCUAUCCGAACUACCUUAAGGAGAAGCACACGACACUCAUAAGCAUGACAUCCGGACGACUUCCACAAAUGCAUCCGGACGACCAACAUAGGCCAUCCGGAUACGUUUGCCCAGGUCAUUGACUGAAGUAAGCAAGCCUUGCACGUUAUCACAACAGCCUGCCAUGGCCCACGUUCCGCCACCUGCAGAGUGAAAGGACAAGAUGAAGUGACAACAAGUCACCUCCUACGGUCACCUACCACGAUCUCUAUCAACCGCCCGUAGGGUGAUGAUGGCCCUGCCACCACCUAGUGUCAUCAUGACAAUACAAAAUAUCUCCCCACCAUUAAAGAGGGGAACAAAGCUUCUGAUACUAUAUAUACGAACUUUCACACGAAGAGGAAGGUAAGCUUGCUAUACCUAGUAAAAGGCCAACUGAUUUAUCUCUCUCUCUAACCAUGGCUGACAAAACCAUCGGAGAGUGCGUCCGAACACCCCGUCCGGACGCCUUUUGCAGGCAGAACGACUGAAUCAAGAAUCUAUAUUGGUUGAGAUCGUGCGUCUAUCCAUUUGGCAACUACGUGGAUCACCAGAGACGCGAGGCCUCAACAUUGGCGCCGUCUGUAGGAAACUUUUCACUGAUUCAGUCACCAGUAAAGAUGGCCACACUUUCCCGAAGCCGUUCAUCUGGUAGAGGAGAGGAAGAUAAUUCUGAAUGGCGCCAAGCCAUCGAAAGAAGACAGUUGGCAAGCGAACUACAACUGAAAGCUCUCCUCCAGGAGACAGAAAGAUUAAGAGAAGAAAACGCGAUACUACGCAUCCAGGCUUCAACAUCAGGGCCUCUUUGUCGUCAGCGUUCAAGAGGCCAAGUAGCAAAUUCAAGGCCAGAACCAGAAUCAAUAUAUCCUGGGACAACAGGAGUUAUCCCAGAAGCGUGCAACGUGAGGCCACACGAGCCACACACUCCCAUGCCUCGAGCUCUCCGUGAGGAAAGCUCAGACUCUACUCAUUUUUUAGCAAAAAGACAACGCGAUAGAAAAUUUUAGUUGUCAAAUUCAAUGCACGCAAGAGUAGGCCCACAAGAGCCUGGGAGACCAAGGCCUCCAAUAGCCACAACCGGGGGAACGCACCCCGACUCUAUGGUCAUCCCCGUGGUAUAGGAUGUGCUCCCACACCGUGACCCCAUGGUCACCCUCGUGGUGCGGAACGUUCACUCGCACCUAGCGGUACGACAAGAUGGGAGAAACCUCCCAAGCGAGCCACCAAUUGGUUCCAUCAGCAAAAGGUUGGACGACAUGCUCUCCACGCCUUUCUGCUCUCAAAUCAUUCAUUACGAGCCCCCAAGGGGAUUCCUCGUACCAAAAUUUUCCACAUACGAUGGGUCCAACGACCCCUUCGACCAUAUCAUGCAUUAUCGACAACUUAUGACGUUCGAUAUUGGCAACGACGCACUGCUGUGCAAAGUAUUUCCCGCCAGCCUACAAGGGCAGGCCCUCUCAUGGUUUCAUCGCCUACCGCCCAACUCUGUUGGCAAUUUCAGGGACCUGUCCAAAGCUUUCGUGGGACAAUACUUGUGUUCCGCCCGACACAAGCAGAACAUUAGCACUCUGCAAAACAUAAAAAUGCAAGAUAACGAAUCCUUAAGGGAGUUCGUGAAGCGAUUUGGUCAAGCCGUACUUCAGGUAGAGGCUUGCAGCAUGGAUGCUGUCCUGCAGAUAUUCAAGCGAAGCAUCUGUCCAGGCACCCCAUUUUUCGAAUUGCUAGCCAAAAAACCUCCUACAACGAUGGACGACUUGUUCAGACGUGCCAACAAAUAUUCGAUGUUCGAAGAUGACGCACGGGCAGCCAUCCAGCAAGUCUUGGUUGCCGGACAGGCAUCUAGAGGUGGCACGGAAAGAAAUGCUAAACCUCCGGACCGGUCAAGGCCGUCCGAUCGAAGGCAGGAAGGGCCAAGUCGCCCGGAAAGGCCGCCUCUCACACCUCUUUUCAUAUUGUAUGAGAAACUUCUCCCGAUGAUCCAGGGUUUGUCCGACUUCAAGUGGCCUAGACCCAUCGGAACAGACCCAUCUACAAGAGAUCAUAGCAAGAGAUGUGCCUUCCACAAAGACCAUGGUCACACGACAGAGACAUGCAGGUGCCUCCAGUAUCUGGUUGAGAGGCUCAUCAAAGCAGGACAUUUAAAGCAGUACCUCCGCACAGAUGCUGAGGGUAGGGGCGCUUCCCAACGUCACAACUCUGGAGCCCCCAGGGCCCCAGCCGUCCCCAAGGACGUUAUAAACUAUAUUAACGGAGGCCCAUCUGACGAGGAGUAUGACUCUAGGCGAAAAAGGCAGAAAUUGUUGCGAGUCGCAUCAAUACGCGAACGCAUCAAUUCCAUCCGGCUUGGACUAACUGGAGGGGGCCCUCGCCUCAUAGAUGGGACAAUCAUUUUCCCACCAAUAGAUCCCACCCGGACACUACAGCCACAUCGCGACGCACUCAUCCUGUCCCUAGAGAUAGGAGACUUCGAUGUGAGACGCAUCCUGGUUGACCCAGGCAGCUCGACCGAUCUUGUGCAAGCAUCGGUCCUUGGCCGCAUGGGACACAGUCUCACAGGCCUCGAAAACCCAGGACGAAUCCUGUCCGGAUUCAACGGGUCGUCAACAACGUCCUUGGGAGACAUUAUACUAACGGUCCAAGCUGGCCCAGUCACUCUCAACGUACAAUUUUCGGUGGUACAAGAUUUGUCGCCCUUCAAUGUCAUCUUGGGGUGCACAUGGCUACACUACAUGAAAGUCAUCCCCUCCACAUAUCAUCAAAUGGUAAGUUUCCUUACCAAGGAUGGGCAAGUUAAUCUAUAUGGCAGCCAGUUAGCCGCUCGCCAAUGCUACCAAAUAGCACGAGAAACAGGAACCAGCCAGGAGGAUGCAUCUCUCCCUGAGUCCAACAAUCCGCAUGACCAAUAGCAAUUAUUGGGUCAGGUGGACAAAGAUCCCCCGGCAGCAGACCCCUUGCAAACAAUCCAAAUCUCGGAAGAAGGAACUCACCUUACGAAUAUCAGUUCCCUCCUCGCACCAGAAGAAACCCAGAAAAUGCAGAGCGCCCUCAGACAAAACUAUGACAUCUUCGCAUGGGCACAUUCUGAUAUGAAGGGAAUUGAUCCCUCAAUUACCGCCCAUAAACUCAACGUCUUGCCAAUAGCCAGACCCAUCCGGCAGAAGAUUAGACGUUUCCACCCGGACAGACAAAAAAUCAUCCGGAUUGAGAUGGACAAAUUGCUAGAAGCCGGAUUCAUCAGAGAAGUACAUUAUCUGGACUGGUUGGCAAACGUAGUGGUGGUACCCAAAAAAGAAGGAAAAUGGCAGGUGUGCAUCGAUUACACCAAUCUCAAUAAUGCGUGUCCAAAAUACAGUUUCCCUUUGCCACGAAUAGACCAAAUCGUGGAUUCUACUGCUGGGCAAUGGAUGCUCUUUUUCUUGGAUGUCUUCUCCGGAUAUCAUCAGAUCCCCAUGUCCCCGACUAACGAGGAAAAAACAGCAUUCAUAACGCCACAUGACCUUUAUUGCUACAAAGUCAUGUCAUUCGGGCUCAAAAACGCUGACACCACUUAUCAAAGACUGAUGACAAAAAUCUUCAAACCUCUGAUAGGCCACACGGUAGAGGUAUACAUUGAUGAUAUCGUGGUUAAAAGCAAAACCCGAGACGAGCAUGUUCUUCACUUACAAGAAGUUUUUCACCUCUUGAGGAAAUAUGGCAUGAAGUUGAAUCCUUCUAAAUGCGCCUUCGGCAUAAGCGCUGACAAAUUCUUGGGGUUUAUGGUCAGCUAAAGGGGCAUAGAGGUCAGUCCGGAUCAAGUCAAAGCAAUCAUAGAAACACCACCACCUAGGAACAAGAAGGAGUUACAACGCCUCACAGGCAAACUCGUUGCGCUAGGGCGUUUUCUAGCCCGCUUCACUGAUGAAUUGCGACCCUUCUUCUUGGCAAUACGAAAAGCUGGAACAAAUGGAUGGACGGACAACUGUCAAAACACUUUUGAAAAGAUUAAGCAUUGUCUUAUGCAGCCGCCCAUCCUGAGUAGCCCCAUCCCAAAAGAAAAAUUAUACAUGUAUCUGGCUGUAUCGGAGUGGGCAAUCAGUGCUGUUUUAUUCCGCUGUCCCUCACCCAAGGAGCAGAAACCUAUCUACUACGACAGCAGAGCAUUGGCGGAUGUAGAAACCAGGUAUUCAAAAAUGGAGCUAACAGCUUUAGCCCUUCGAAGCGCUGUCCAAAAGUUCUGCCCCUAUUUCCAAGCCCACCCAGUGGUCGUGCUGACCGACCAACCCUUUCGUAACAUUCUGCACAAACCAGACUUAACCGGAAGAAUGCUGCAAUGGGCUAUCGAAUUGAGCGAGUUUGGAAUCAAAUUCCAACCCAGAUUGUCCAUGAAAGGCCAAGUAAUGGCUGACUUCGUGCUGGAAUAUUCUCGAAAGCCUAGCCAACACCAGGAAUCAAGUGAAAAAGAAUGGUGGACUUUGCGAGUCGAUGGAGCCUCACGAUCAUCCAGGUCCGGAGUAGGGCUUCUGCUACAGUCUCCAACAGGGGAAAACCUAGAGCAAGCCAUCCGGCUGGGAUUCCCUGCCUCCAACAAUGAAGCAGAAUAUGAGGCCAUCUUAUCCGGAUUGGACCUCGCUUUGGCUCUAUCCGUCUCCAAGCUCCGGGUUUAUAGCGAUUCGCAACUCGUAGUAAGACACGUCCAGAAGGAAUACAAAGCCAAAGAUGCGCGCAUGGCACGAUACCUGACAAAAGUAAGGGACACCUUACAACGAUUCACCGAGUAGACAAUCGAAAAAAUCAGAAAAACUGAAAAUGGACGUGCCGACGCCCUGGCAGGCAUCGCCGCCUCCCUCCCCAUCAAAGAAGCCAUAUUGUUGCCUAUUCAUGUGCAAACUAACCCUUCUGUAACAGAAACCUCCACUUGCAACACUAUCGAGACAAGCCAAGCGGACAACCAAGAAUGGACAAACAACAUCACAAAAUACCUCCGGACAGGCACUCUGCCCGGAGAACCCAAACAAGCACACAAGGUCCAGGUACAAGCUGCUUGUUUCACCCUAAUAGGGGGGCACUUGUACAAGCGAUCCUUCACAGGACCCUACCUUUGGUGUCUAAGUCAUUCAGAGUCCCAGUAUGUGUUAGCAGAGUUACACGAGGGGGUAUGUGGAAAUCAUUCAGGAGGACGCUCUCUGGCACAUAGGGCCCAUUCGCAAGGGUAUUAUUGGCCCACGAUGAAGAAGGAUGCGGCAGCAUAUGUAAAAAAAUGUGAUAAAUGUCAAAGACAUGCUCCCAUUCCACAUAUACCAUCAGAAACAUUGAAACCAGUAUCAAGCCCAUGGCCCUUCGCGCAGUGGGGCAUGGACAUAGUGGAACCCCUCCCAGCCGCACCUGCCUAAAAGAAAUUUCUGCUCGUCGCCACAGAUUACUUUAGUAAAUGGGUGGAAGCUGAAGCAUAUGCAAGCAUCAAAGACAAAGAUGUCACCAAGUUCGUAUGGAAAAACAGCGUCUGUCGUUUUGGAAUUCCACACACCAUUAUAACCGACAACGGUCCACAAUUUGAUAGCAUCGCAUUCCGGAAUUUCUGUUCGGAACUGAACAUCCGGAAUUUCUGUUCGGAACUGAACAUCCGGAAUUCAUACUCCACACCGCGUUAUCCUCAAAGUAACGGGCAAGCAGAAGCCACAAACAAAACGCUAAUCACUGCCUUAAAGAAAAGGCUCGAGUAAGCCAAAGGAAAAUGGGUGGAGGAGUUAUCCGGCGUUCUGUGGGCCUAUCGAACCACACCCGGGCGGCCAACAGGAAAUACUCCCUUCGCCCUCGCAUACGAUAUGAACGCAAUCAUUCCUACCGAAAUAGGGUUACCCACUAUCAGGACCGAGGCAGCAAAGCAGGAUGAUGCAAACGCGGAGUUAGAAAGAAACUUGGAUUGGGCAGAUAAAGUAAGGGAAAGCGCAACCAUUCGGAUGGUAGACUAUCAGCAAAGGGCAUCCGCUCAUUACAAUCGCAAAGUAAGACCCAGAAGCUUCAAAAAUGGUACGCUGGUCCUUAGAAAAGUUUUUGAAAAUACUGCUGAAACAAGAGUAGGGAAAUUUCAAGCCAACUGGGAAGGACCCUAUAUAGUAUCUAAGUCAAGUGAAAGUGGAGCUUAUCAUCUACAAAAGCUAGACGGAACUCCAUUACUCAGACCAUGGAAUGUGUUCAAUUUAAAGCAAUAUUAUCAGUGAAAGACAAAAGACAAGCACAAAUGAGAAUAAAUAAUAUUUUAUUAAUAUUUGCAAAGGUGUAUACAAAGAGGUCUCCGGACUACACAAAAUACAAAAAAAAGAUAGCAGCAAAACAAAUUACAAAAAGAAAAGCUAUCAGGGAGCAAGCUUGUCAAGUAGCUUCUUCUCUUCACCCGGAGGAAUUGAAGGGACAUCCCGCUUAAUGCCAUGUUUCUUCAUACAGCAGCGAUAGCCGAAGAAAAACAUAUCAUCAACUUGCUUCUGGUAGUCCGCUUCAAGCUCCUCCCUCUCUGCAGCAAACUCACCCUCUAACUCUUCUUUUUGCGCUGAUAAGCGCAGCUGCAAAUCUUCCUUCUGCUUCUUCUCAAUGGACACCUCCGUCCGGAGUUGCCUCACCUCCCCCCUCAAGAGAGCCACCUCAUCCUCCGCCUCAUGCAAGCGGGCAUCCAUCGUCUCCUCCCGGCUCCUUGCCUCAGCUAAAUCUGCCCGGAGAGCCUCGCUGUACCCCCGAGCAGUGGAUAAACUGGCUUCGGCUUCUUCCAGUCUCAAGCGCAGCUGAUUUUCACUGUUUUUGCGCUGAGAAGCGAAAGCCUUCAUGUAAUCAGAGGUCCGCAGUAGGUCAGUAAAUAGAUCAUGUUGUUGGGUCAUGCCGCGAAGACCACUCACCAGCUACAAACAAACACACAAGCAAGAAAAGCGAAAUUACAAACCAUACCACAAACAUAUCAGCAUGACAAAGAAAAUCAAGAAGUACACUAUACCGUUUCCACCACUUCGAACAUCCUUGCUGAAGGCAUGACAACGGUCGAGCCGGAUGGAAUCUGUUUCAACUUCUCUUCCAACUCUGCAUAGCUAAAAGAGCCAACAGAAAUGCAAGCCGCAUCAUCAACAAGACUCCCCCCUAAUGAGGCGUUGGAGGGUGACUCCUCCUCCAAGUCCGGGGCCCCCUCAUUUUCAGCCGGCUGGGUCUCUCCGGGCGUACCCUCAUCCGGGACCACCACUGGGACGGCUGGGGUCUCAGUUUCCAUCUCCGUCUCGCUCCCCUCCGGAUGGUCAUCCUGGACGGACGAGCAACUGACUUCGAUGGUUUCCUAGAAUCGAUCUUGAAGCCGCCCGAUGAGGCCAAACUUUAGGUUGCGCGCCGAACUCGACCUCCUUGAAGCUGGUCCCUUCAUCGAUACGAGGGCAAGAAGGCUUGACCCGCCUGAAGGAAGAUUCUGGUUUUCUGCCCCCAUUUCCUCCAUUGGGGUCGCCAUAAGAGGCGAUACUUCCGCACAUACGACCUCGGCUGCAUCCGCAUCCGGAUGGGGAGAGCCGGGUGUAUUUAUUGACGCAGCUUCUUCGACCAAAAGAGCCAAGCGGGCAGCUGCUGACAAGGAGGGCCCCGAGUGGUUCAAACCCGCGACAUGUCCGGGACCACUUGAAAUAGAAGGCGGAAGAGGAUUUUCCGGCUCCUUUAUUGUUACCUCAUUCUCAUAAGUAAUAGGAGGGCGUACAAACUCCUUCGGAGGAGUGGAGAGUUUCACUUCCUUCCCCUUAUUUGAAGUCUUCUUUUUCUUCUUUGUUGGAGCGCCAGCAGGAGGAGAGGACACAGACCGUUUUUUCCCAGGAGCCUUCCGCAAGGUUCCCUCCUUUUUUCUCCUCUCCCGAUCGAUAAGGAGUGCUCGGCGUUUCUCAGCGUCCGCCUGUUGCACCUCCUUGUAGAAAGGAAGGUCUUUUAGAAUGUAAUGCUCCCCAGACACUACCUUCUUUGGUAGCUUCUUAGGGAGAAUAUUGAUGAUAUACUCACAGGGCUCCCGGACAACAGCCAUAAGGUUCCGCGCAGUGAGCAGCGUCACAUACUGCCUCUCGGCGGCAGUAAUCUCGAACAACUUGUUCAAUCGAACAAACGACGCUUUUUCUACCCACUCAACUACGUGGCCCCUCCUGUCCGAACCUGCAUUAUCAACAAACCAAAGAUAAAUAUGCCAUCUGAUAAAACCAGCAAGAAGGACAACAAGAUAAAUGCCGGACAAACACCCGUAAGCUGACUUACCCGGAAGCACCAAUGAGUAGUUUGGAGAAAAAUGCUUCUCCGAAUGCUCCAAUAGCCCCGCCCAAGCACCCCGGACCACCACAUACCCCUUCGCCCCUCCUUUCAUCGAAUCCGGCAGCUCAGUCACCAAUUGAAGAGAGGGCAGAUGGGCAGCCAUACUGAAGAUAUCAUUUUUUCCCUUCUUCAGGGAGUAAACAAAAAGAACCUCCAGCAACGAGAGGUCAAGGUUGAACAACAUGUUUAGAAUGCUGCAUCCCAUCAGCACCAGAACUAUAUUGGGGUAGAUGAAGGCUGGUGGGAUCUAGGUAAAGUGAAGGAAUUCCUUGAACAGCGCCGGGAGAGGGAACCGGAGCCUGGCAUUGAAUUGAUCCUUUGAGAAGGUGAUGGCACGGCCUUCAGCUUUCUCAGUAGACACGACCUCCUCCUCGUCCAUAAAUUCCACAAGCACGCCAUUUGGGAUACAGAAACGUUCUCGGAACUCCUUUACACUCAGUUUAUCUACAGAUUUCUCAGGAGCAUCACCGGCCGGGCCAGACGAAGCAGCUUCCUGGUUCGCAGACAUUUUUUAGCUUUUCAAAAACUGCAUGAAAGAGGUACCAACAGUCAAAACACCCUCAACAAAACCCUAGAAACCAAAAAACACCAACAUUCACACACACAGUCGCAAGCAACUUGACCAAACAAAGUCAAAAGCAAACCAACAAAACCAAAGCGCAGCAAGGAAAAGACAAAAGCAAAAUAUAUGUACCAAGUGUAAAAAUGGAAGAAAAGGGUUGCAAACCACAAGGCAGUCACCGUCGAAACGCAAAAAUCGCCGUCAGAAAAUUCUAGGGCUUCACUCAGGAACAAAGGUACGCAGAAGGUAGAAGAAGAAACACUCUCAGAAAAAAACACAGUAGGAAAGAUGCAACAGAAGGCACAGUAUGCUAUUUAUAGGGCGACAGCCCCUCGGAAAACCAAACGCACAGCUACGCCAUCAUUGAAACGACAUGCUGCCUGGGAAUACACAGAGAUGGCGGCUCAUCAUAAAUACUAUCCUCUCUCUUUUCGCCCCCGCUCGCCACGUGGCCCAAUAGGCGCAAAAAGUAACCACAAUUUCAAAAACCAAUUAUUUUUUUAACCCGCCCAUUUUUGCUCAGGCAAAAUAGGCAAGUUAAAAAGGGGGGCAUUGUAGGGACCCCUCCUCCUAAGAACACGUGCCACACACCUCAUGGUGACACGUGGCACGCAUUAUCAUCCGGAUCACCCUCAUCCGGAUUUCCCUAAAAAUACACGUGGCGCGCUUCUCCUAUCCGGACUACCUCAAGGAGAAGCACACGACACUCAUAAGCAUGACAUCCGGACGACUUCCACAAAUGCAUCCGGACGACCAACAUAGGCCAUCCGGAUACAUUUGCCUAGGUCAUUGACUGAAGUAAGCAAGCCUUGCACGUUAUCACAACAGUGUUCCAUGGCCCACGUUCCGCCACCUGCAGAGUGAAAGGACAAGAUGAAUUGACAACAAGUCACCUCCUACGAUCACCUAUCACGAUUUCUGUCAGCCGCCCGUAGGGUGAUGAUGGCCCUGCCACCAUCUAGUGUCAUCAUGACAAUACAAAAUAUCUCCCCACCAUUAAAGAGGGGAACAAAGCUUCUGAUACUAUAUAUACGAACCUUCACACGAAGAGGAAGGUAAGCUUGCUAUACCUAGUAAAAGGCCAACUGAUUUAUCUCUCUCUCUAACCAUGGCUGACAAAACCAUCGGAAGGUGUGUCCGGACACCCCGUCCGGACGCCUUUUGCAGGCAGAACGACUGAAUCAAGAAUCUAUAUUGGUUGAGAUCGUGCGUCUAUCCAUUUGGCAACUACGUGGAUCACCAGGGACGCGAGGCCUCAACAGGUACCAUUGUGAAUUAUGUUUAAUGAGAAAAUAUGUGGGAAAAAGAGAGAGAAAGAGAGAGAGUGGAGAGGAGUGAGCCAAACUAAGGUGAUAAGAAGAAAAAAGGGAGAAAGAUAUCUUAGAAAAGGAAGAAUAAUAAGCCCAAAAGGAAGUAGGAUUGAGGGUGAGGAGUGAAAAAGGUUUUAAAAAAAGACAAGAAAAAAGAAUAAAAAAAUAACUAUAUUUAAAAAUGGAUAUAAAUUUAUUAAUUUAAAAUUUAUGAAAAUUAUUUAAAAAAAUGUAUAUAAUCUUUUUUUAUCUAAAAGUUAUUUAUAUUUAUAAUAUUUGAGUAUGUUUAAUAUUAUUUUCACUUAAAGUGCUUUUAUAAGAUGUGUUUUUUAAAAUAUUAUAAAACGAGCUCAAAAUUGAUAAAAGAAAAUACAACCUUUUUUUUAAAUUGCUUUAUAAAACUGUGUAAUACUAAUUCAUCUAAACAAUUUUUUUUGUUUAUAAAAAUAAAAAAAUUGUUUUUUAUAAUUCAGUUUUUAAAUGUAAUUUAACUUCCGAAAAAUAUAUAAAAAAAUGUUAUUAAAAAAGUAUCAGUUCCCAAAAGCACUUCCCAAACAUAAAUUGUAAUUAAGCCCUUGGCGUGGUUGCGCAAAGUAUCUUCCUAACAUGGGCAAAAUCACAUUUGUAAGGCUCCGAUAGGCGAUAGCAUUGGACAUUUGUCAUCCACACACAAAGCAUAAGCCCCAAACCGCCUCUCUCAAGUCUCAAGUCGGCAGAAGGGUGUUUUACUGUUUUUCUAUUUAUCUAUUUAAAGAGAAAAAAGAGAUAACAGAGGGUAUCAAUCCAUUAAUCAAAUCAAAAGGAUUGAGAGCUGCAAAAAUGCUUAGGAGCGGCUGCAGCAGGAUUCUAGGGUUAGGGCAACAGGGCAAGCAGGCUCAAUCGCAGGCCCUUCUUCGUUUCUAUCAUGAGAGGGUGGUGGACCAUUACAAUAACCCCCGCAACGUGGGAUCCUUCGACAAGAACGAUCCAGACGUCGGCACUGGCCUCGUUGGCGCUCCAGCUUGCGGUGAUGUCAUGAAGCUUCAAAUCAAGGUCGAUGAUCAAACCGGAAAGAUCGUCGAUGCUUGCUUCAAGACCUUUGGUUGUGGAUCCGCCAUCGCCUCUUCCUCUGUUGGUCCGUAUUUAUUUAUUUAUUUUUCUUUUUUCUUACGUGAAAUCAAAAUGAAAUAAAGGAAAUUGGGAUUUUCUGAAUUAUACAACCGGUUCCCUUAAUUUGAGUGCCGGAAAUGUUUUUUUUUGUUUUUCUCCGUUUCUGUGUCCAUCCAAGUGGGGUUGUUUUGUUAUUUAUUUUGUUGUAUGUUCCUCAUUUCAUUUUUUUUAAUACGUUAAAUUUUCCCCCUUAUCUUUGCUUGAAUUGAUUGAUUAGGUUUUUGUUUGAUCGGGCUAUAUAUAUAAUUAGCACAUCUGUAAUGUUGAUUUGUAAUUUGCUCUUAUUAUUACAUGGAUAUCCAUUUUAAAAGCCAGGAGAUUCUUCUUUGGGAAAUGUACUGAUUUUUGUUUUUGGGUCUCACUUCCAGCCACGGAAUGGGUGAAAGGCAAGCAAACGGAGGAAGUUCUAUCCAUAAAAAAUACGUGAGUUUUUAUCUCUAUCCUUCAUCCUUUAUUUUGUGUUAUGCCGAAAUCGUUGCUUUGUUUAUGUGCAUUUGAGUAGCCAUGAUCUGUAGGUUUAUGUGGAUGUUCUGCCAGUAGACUUUCUUUCUAAAUUCAUGGAAGCAGAGAUUCACAAGCUAUACUCAACAUGGAAAAAGGCCUAGACCUAGAUUCAACUAUAUGUUGCUCACCUAGCCGUUGACAUAAUCCUUGGCAAUCAUUUUUUUCUUCACCAUCUUGAUGAACCUUCUGUUACAACCUCUCUUUAUCUUGUCCUCAAUUGAAUCCACACCAAACUUCCUAUGAUUGCAUUUUCUAUCCCUUCUUACAUUGUUGCUCACCAUCUUAACAUCUACAUCUACAAAUUUAGGGAACAGGGAGGUGAGCAUUUCCACAUUGCUCAAUAGGGUUCCUUGCAUUUCAGGGGUAUAAAAAAUAAAUAAUCAUACCUAAAGAAAUAAAAUGAAAUAACCUAAGCAUGCAUAAAUAAAUAUUUCAGUUUCAAUUUAACAUAUAACAUAUAUAUUAUUGCUAAAAAUGCAAAUGAAAAUGAACACAUGCACUCACACAAUGCACCAUAAUUCUCAAGCUUUCACCAAAUUGUAUGUCUAUAUCCAAAUACACUCCUCACUCAGUCUUCUUGAGGUAAAUUUUUGUGUCUUUCACACCAAAGAUCCCCCUCUUCUUAAUUCACCCUCUAUAGGAUCUUUUCAUUUUCUCAAUUUCUUUUCUUUUCAUUUCCGAUUCACACAAUAUAAUAUUUUACGUUCAACAUUGAAAUCUCAACAAUCAAUUCUACAAUGCCAAUUUAUUUUAUUCACAACAAUUCUAACUCAACAAGUUAUUCCAUAAAAUAGAAUGUUUAUGAACAAAAUCCCAAGACGCUUAUUCUGAAAAUUAGUCUUUGCAACAACUAUAAAAUCACAUUGAUAAAAUCUAAAACAAAACCAACUUAUAUCUUAAAUGGAAGAAUAAGGAGUACAAGAUAAAGGCAAAAAAUAGAAGUUCCCAUAAAACCACCAACACUUCAAGCACAAGCCACUUUACCAAACCCGAAUAUUGGAUAAUUAGUUUCAAAAACAAAGUUCACCGCUAUGUUCCUUGUGUUGAGAUAAGUAUUCUCUCAAAAUUUCACAAGAACCCAAGCAGGAUACACUUUCAAAGUUGUUAGUCUUUCACUUUGAGAAACCCACAUGAUCUUAGCAGCUUAUGCUUUUAUUUAUUUUUUCAAAACCACUUUGCAAAGGAGGAGAUUAUCUCUCUUUGUUGUCUUUCAAAGUUGUUGUCUUUCACUUUGAGAAACCCAUGUGAGCUUAGCAACUUAUGCUCUUAUUUUAUUUUUUCAAAACCACUUUGCAAAGGAGGAGGAGACUAUCUCUCUUUGCCCUCCUCUCUCUCUCUCUCUUCCAAUUAGGUGCAUGUGCCACUCUUAUGCCCAUUACUUCUCUUACUCCAACGAAAAAAAGAACUAAUAUCAUUCAUGAAUGAAUUCAUUAAUCCCACAUGCAAAGUCUCAAUGCCUUAUAUAUUUAAUCUAAAAUUGUGAUGGGGGACUACAUACAUUCCCAAAAGCUUAAGCUAAUGAGGGGUAGAGGUAGCCCCAAAUAUUAGGCCCAACUAACAUUGGUAAUCAGUCAAUGUGGGACAAUGGACUUUUGUUCGUCCUAUGCCAAGUUCCCACCAUUCCCUCCAACCACUUUAAUCUAUACCCUCCAUUUAUAUGCUUCAACAUUACGUACAAAAUCAAAUCCCCAUAAUUUAAUCUCUACUCAUGUAUCAUAUAACUAAUCAGCUUUUAUAAUUUUUCUCAAACUUAAGCUCCACUAUAUCAUUCUCCAAUAACUUCCUUCCACGAUAUCAUCCCACCAUGUGUCCGAUCAAGAUUUUUAGUAUCAAUUCCACAAUUAUAAUCACCUAAGCAAUAUGAAAAUUAGCUAUGAAUUAAGCAUGAAGCACCCAAGUUCAAUUCUUCACAAUUCAAAUCUUAAUUGUUUAAUAUGAUCCCAAUUUAACUUCAGUUAAAUCUCAAUCUUACUUUAGAUGAACGAUAUUGAGUUGAUUAAAUCUCAACUUCAGUAUCCUUGAUUCAUGUGAUGUAACUAAAUUCUCAAGCAAUCGAUUGUAUCAUAAUGACAUGUUGCAAAUUCAACCCAAAUUAGUUGACGAAAAAUCUAGCAAAUCACCCAAUCUGAAGUGGACACAUGUACUCUCACUAUAGUUUUCUCACUCAUUCAAUUGACAGUAAAAUUUUUCAGAUAAUGCAUUAUUCAGAUAUUACAACUAAACCUUCCAAUCAAAGAAUCCUCACCUAGGGUUAUGUAUAUGCAUAUUAUUGAAUUAUUUGUUAUAAGAGGUUACUAGGAGUCGGGGAUGGUUACUAGGAGUCUCUUGCAGGAGUCAAGUCUAAUGAUUUAACCCCCACUUGGAAAGGGUAAGAAAUAGGUAUUCAUUGAUGUACUGUUCCUGUCUUUAGUUUAGGUUUAUUAUGGUAGUUAUAAGUUCUGUAUCUUUAUCAGUUAAUUUGGUAUCAUUUAUUAAUUGCAGAUUUUAAAUUCUUUACUUACUAAAUAGUUUGAUUCAUUUCAGUUGUAAAAUUUUUUAUGAUACCUGACAACUGUUUACUUCAAGAAAUUUGAUAUUUAAAUUUUUCACCCACUAAAAUUCAUUGCUUCUCUUUUGUACUUGAUCUUCAAUUUUUAAACACCUACUAGAUAAUGCUUGGGAACUUCAGUUUCUUGUCAUUUAAAUAGUCCAUGGAAACAAGGUUAUGGGUUUUAGGGUUGUUGUUUUUUAAACCAUAGCAACAUAAUUUUUUUUGCUUUCUCAUAAUCAUGCACACAAGAAUUUCUUUAGUAUGAACAGAGAUGAUCAUCUGGUCUAUGGUGAAAGAACACCAUCACAAGUUUUAGAAGGUGGUGUAAAAUAGUUGUUGAGAGGAAUUUAUAUUGAUGGUUGUUAAUUAGGAAACAUAUGUGUGCUAGUUAACUUUGAAGAGGAGGUACUUCUGUUAGUUGAUCAUCAUUAGUGUUUAGUUAAAGGUGGAAGAGAAAAAAAGGAACAGAAAGCUAAUCUCCUUUUUUUGAUAGGUAAGGGAAUGUAUAUUAAAAUUAGAGAAAGUAGCCAAGUACACCAGCGUACACAGGAUGUAUACAAUGAGCACCUUAGGCAAGCCCUCCAAAAAGAGCAUUAAAAAAAAAAACCACUCUAUUCCUCAACAAGACCCCACCCACUCUACAAAUCAAACUAGGUCAUUGAGUCUUCCCUUAAAUACAUGCUAACCCAAGAAGAGGGAUUACAAAAAAAUGAAAGUUUUAAUCAUUGGUCAUUGUGUUCCUUAUCUUCAAAAGCUCUUUGAUUUUGUUCCCUCAAGAUUGUUUGAAAAAUGCAAAGUGGAGUAGCGUUCCACACCUUUUUCCUUUUGUUCCCAAGAAAGGAGCCUUGCCAACUUAAGAACAGAACCCUCACUAAAGAAAGGAUCAUCCACGCCACCCUAAAUAAGGAAAACAAACUUUAAAGGAAUGAAGAAGCAAUUGAUUAAUAGACUCCCCCUCAUGCUUACACAGAUAACAUAUAUUUACCAAGGGUUGCCCUCUCUUUUGGAGAUUAUCUAAAGUUAGCAUUCUUCCUUAACUAGCUUCCCAUGCAAAAAAGCUGACUUCGGGUGGUACCAACAGAUUCCAAAUAAUGUUCUUUGGAAAGAUGAUCACCCUCCCCACAUCCAAAACCUCAUAGAAAGAUUUGAUAGAAAACAAUCCCCUCUUAUCGUCUUUCCAUACCACCUUGUCAUUAUCGCCCUUCCUGACCAAAUUCCCUGUCAACCUGGAGAAAAAAGUCUCAAUGAUGUCCAGCUCCCAAUUAUUAAAGUGCCUAGUAAAGCGUAGGGUCCAAUGCCCCAUUCCUCCUGUGUCAUCCCAAUAAUAUGCCACCCAAGCCUCCUUGGAGGCCACCAAAGUAUACAAAAAAGGGAAAGACAAGCACAAGGGCUCCUCCCCACUCCAUUUAUAUCUGUCAAGAACUUUACCCUUCUUCCAUUACCCACUUCAAAGGAGGUUUUACUGAAGAAAAGAUCCCACCCCUUCCUAAUAGCUCUCUAAACACCAACCCCAUACCCACCUCUAACUUCACAAGAAUGCCAACCCACUCCUUCUUUCCCAUAUUUCCUCUCAAUAAUUUGCUUCCACAAAACAUUCCCAUUAGAGACAUAUCUCCAACACCACUUACCAAGAAGGGCCCAAUUCAAGAGAGAGACUUAUAAUUUCCAGCCCCUUCCCCCCCACCCCACCCACCCACACACACACACACACAUUUUUCUCUUCUUUGUGCAAAUAAUCAACCAACUAACAAAAUGAGGCUUUCUCCAAAGCCCCACCUCCCCAGAGAAAGUCCCUUUAAAUCUUCCUUAAUUUCAAUCUAACCCUUCUAGGGAUGACAAACAAAGACAUAAUAUUGGCAAAUUCGAUAAAGUACUUCUAAUCAAAGUAAAUCUCCCCCCUUUAGAAAUGUAUUGUCUUUUCCAUAACGACAAUUUUCUGCGAAACUUUUCUUCCACAACAUCCCAUACUGUUUCAGAUCUACAAGAGGCUCCUAAAGGUAAUCAUAAGUGGAAGGGAGUUUCCUACUUAUAUAUAAAAAAAAAAAAAAGUGAAGGGAGUUUCCCCACCUUGUAGCCCAAUUCUGUAGCUAGACUUUCUACAUUUGUAACCCUUCCAAUUGGAAUCAAUUCGCUUUUAUCCAGAUUGAUUUGGAGUUUGAUAAUGCCUCAAACCACAUGAGCAACCAAUUCAAAUACCUACUGCUAGGAAUCCUCACAGAAGACCAAAGUAUUGUUUGCAAAUAAGAAAUGGGGCACCACCACCCCUUCUCUCCCUUCACAACUCUCUCACCUUGAAACUAGACAAGUAGCCCCCCUCUUGGGCUCUCUCCAACAAGCAGCUCAAAACCUCUAUAGCAGAAACAAAUAGACAAAAGGGAUAGAGGAUCCCCUUGUCUCAACCCCUUCGAACUCUGAAAGAAACAAGGAGUUCCAUUAACCAACACUGAAAACCUUCUUGUGGAAAUGCACCAUUGAAUCCAUCUAAUCCAUUUAUGGUUAAAAUCCAUUUUUUCCACAACUACAAACAUAAAAGCCCAAUUGACAUCAUGACCGUAUGCUUUUUCUAUGUCCAACUUGCAAAUGACACCACUGGAGCCAACCUUCAAGCUUGAAUUAGUUGCUUCCUUCGCUACAAGGGAUGCAUCUAAAAUCUGUCUCCCCUUUACAAAGGUGUUUUGAAACUUAGAAACCACUUUUUCCAUCACUUUCUUUAAUCUACUUGUUAACACUUUCACCAAAAGUUUAUAAAGACUUCCCCUCAAAUUUAUAGAUCUAAAAUCUUUCAAAUACUCUACACCCUACUUCUUUGGGAUUAAAGCUAAAAAUGUAGCAUUUAAACUUCUUUCAAACUUGUCAUUGGCAAAAAAAUCCGAAAAGAACCCCAUUGGCUCAUCCUUAACGAAAUCCUAACUAAAUUGCCAAAAGGUCAUAGUGUAGCCAUUAGGGCUAGGAGCUUUAUCCCCACUUAAAUCAGAUAAGGCAACACUUCCUCCUUUGAAAAAGCCCCCUCCAAGCCCAAAGCCUCCUGCUAAUCCAAAGUAUUGAAAUAUAUGCCACUAAUGCUUGGCCUCCAAUCACCAGAAUCAGACAAAAGAUGGUGAAAAGCCCGUGUCAUUCCUUGCUUAACUUCAGAUUCCUCUGUAAGCCACUCCCUGUCCACCUCGAUCUUGGUCAAAAAAUUCCUCUACCUAUGAGCAUUAGCCAUUUCGUGGAAAAACUUGGUGUUCUUAUCCCCCUCCUUCAACCAAGUCUCCCUAGACUUUUGCCUCCAUGAAACCUCCUCAAAAAGGGCCCAUUUGUGAAACUCUUCUUUUGCUGCCUGUCUAGAUACCUCCUCCUCCAGCAGUAGAGGAGAUUCCAUCUCUUUAGAGUCCCAGAAUCCCACCUGCUUCAAAGCCAACUCCUUUUGGAUAUCUACAUGACCAAAAACUAACCUCCUUAAUAUUUCUAUUCCUAAGCCAUCGACAAAAUUGAUAACAGAAAGAUUAGCAUUCAUCAUCAUCCCAUUUGAGCACAAGGACAAGGCUUUUCUAAAAACAAAUUUUUCACAAAUAUAACACCUAUUCCUCAAAGGUUCUUCUAUUGCAUUAUUUUCAAAUAGACCAAAAGAUUCAAUAUUUAAGGUUUAAACUACCAUGCAAUUAUCACUCAUAAGAACACCAUGCAAUUAAGCAACACCUCUCUAGGCUAUUGGAGGAGAACCCAUGACACAAAAAAAUGGAGAAAAACAAGUAUCACAAACCGGAAACCCGCGAUGAAUAUGAGCAUGCUCCGCACGCUUAUGAUUUUGUUACAAACCUGGAGUCUUGGCAAAGCCAACCCAAUAAUCUUUGCCUCUUGGUGUACUACUAAAUUAGCCAACACUAGUUAAUGAUCUUUAAAUUGCUCUCUCCAUGAAAACUUGCUCCAAUGGAGCUGACAACUGAAAACUCAUGUUCAGGAAGAAACCAUUCCAUUGCUUCCUAAUGGCUUUUCCACGACCUCAAAACAAUUGGCUACUUUAGUCACCUUUUUUUUUCUUUUUUUUUUUAACCGUGAAUGUCCGGGCCGGCUUACGCACACCUCGACUAAUCCCACGAGGCCCUGAAGUUAACAACCGGGUAAACCUCCAGUGGUCUUAAGGGGACUCGAAUUAGUGACCAUUGCGGAGCAAACCCAAAGCCGGACCAACUGAGCUACCCCUCAGGGUUGGCUUCUUUAGUCACUCUAAAGCUUCGUCUUCUUUGCAUCUCCAUGGAUUUCCUCACAGUUGCCUAUCUCCAUAAACUAUGGUGAUUUACUUCACUGUGAAAAUUUAAAGCCUCUUUCCCAGCAAGGCCUUACUUUUUUUUGAUAGUUAUAUAUAUAUAUUAAUAGGUUUCCCAGCAAGGCCUUGUUGAGAGCCUCAAGACAUCUAAUGCCCAAGUACCCUAUAGCCUUCUCUGAACAGACUGUUUACUGCCUCACCAAAUGAUCUUUUUGUUAAAAUGCAGUCCCUUUGAAUCUUUUUUAAUCUGUCCUUUACCUUCUGAGGAAUUGCUGGAGGCAGCAAAAAGCAUGAUCAUAAACUGGAGAAGAUGCUCUUUCAAAAGGAUAAGUGUACAACCGUUAGUGCAAAUAUUUUUUUCUUCCAUGUAAUUGAACCUCCCCUUAACUGAGGACCAAACAGAGGACUUGAAAGACACACCCAAGGGUAAUCCCAAAUACUUGGCAGGGAGUGUUCAAUCCACGUGGAAGCCCAAUUGCUUAGCCCCUUAACUCUCCCUGCCGGAAUGAAACAGUGGAACCUUUUAUAGUGAUCACAUUUGGCUUCUAUCUAGAUUCUCUGCUUAGUUUUUCUGAUUCAUAUCCUUAGAGCACUUUGGAAUUCUGGAGUUGCUUUGAAUUUUUUGGGGAAUAGUUCGAGGAAGAUUUUAAGUUGUCAGUGAAAGAAAAUGUGUUCUAGAAAAAUAAGCAUAUGUUGUCAUUUUAGGAUUAUUAUAAUCUUGAGGAUUCUGCUUUCUACUGAUGUUUAAGAUUUUUCCAACAUAAGUCCUUGAGGCCUGAUGAGGAAGGCAUUGGGGUAGGGGAUGUUGGAAGGUCUAGGGUUGAGUUCCAGCAAGAACCAGAGAAAAAAAAAGGUUACUUUCCCAAUGUAAUUCAAGAUUUUGCAUAUAGUUGAGGAGAUAUUUGUGGUAUUGGUUAUUCACAAUAGAUUCACUAUUGAAGUAAUAUGGUGGAAAUCCUAGCUAUGUCAGGUUCAAGAUAAGCUAUGCCCUGUGCAAACUAGGAAAAUGAUAUGAAAAAUUCAGAGGAGUUUCUUGCUUUCUUGCUUUUGUGUGGGCUCCCAGCUAAUAGUUUGGGAUUGAAGAAAGUUUUUACCAGCUGAUACAAGCAGUACUAAUUUUCAAAAUGCUUGGUUUAUUGUUAUAAAGUGUAUAAUUAACUAGCAUGAUUUAACAGGAAAGGGAAGCUAAUUUUCUUCCUUUUAUGCAUUAAAACGACUUGGAAUUAUUUGAGUUCUCUUGAUAUGUCAAAGCUGUUUUGGCUGGUUUUGAAUAAAAUUUUUACAGAAAGAGGGAUAAUAAUGGUUUGCAUUUCAUUUAUUUUCCUUCUUUUAUCUUUAAUAAGACUUUUGUGGUUACCUAUGCCUGAGAACUUGCAUUAUAUUUUUUAUUGUUGCUACUGAUUUCUCGAAGUUUUUAUUUUUAAUUUUUGUCUUUUUGUUCUGAUGUGUAUAUUUGAUGACAAUGAAGGGAGAUUGCCAAACAUCUCUCUCUUCCUCCAGUGAAGCUGCACUGCAGCAUGCUUGCUGAGGAUGCAAUUAAGGCAGCUGUCAAAGAUUAUGAAGCCAAGCGAGCAAAGACUGAGUAGGCUGUUGAAGGCUGAUUAUAGUGCCAAGUGCCACUAAGUAGUAAGAUACUUGAAGGAUUAUGACCUGUCUGUGAACAGGGGAUGGUACUUUGUGUAAAUUGCCUUAAAACUUGUUUCUGAAGUUUCAUGUAUGGAUAACUAGACAGUAAGGGGUUUCUUCCUUUAGCAGGUAUGGGUCAUGUGUACAUGUUUGUGCAUGGAUGUUUUCUACUCUCCCAAUCUUAAUAAUAAUAAUUGGUAACUGAGAAUUCUCAUCUUAUGAUAGAUGUAUUUAAAGACUAAUUGUUGCACCUAUGAGACCCGUAGUUGCUAUCCGGGUACUCACAUUUAGGAUUGGGAUGACCAAGGGUGGGUUCUCAUUUAGGAUGGCUCAUGAAAAUGCAAGAAUGUCUCACUGAGGUGAGUUGCUAGUUUGGGUAUGCACAUGAAACUUUUACCCAAAACCUCCUCUGUCUCUACCAAACAAAACAAAGUGGUAAAUCAUGCCACAGAAAUCUCUAUUUGAUUAGACAGCGCAUGCUCAGUCGCUGAUAGGUCAACUGGGAUUCUUAUGCUGGCUAACAACACUAUUGACACCAUCAGCAAAAUAUCACAAGGAGAAAAUGACGUUAAGAUGGCAAUUUCAUUAGUUCUGUUUAUAUUGGAGCGGUAUGUUCUCUUAACGAAGGGGAAGAAGAGUGUGACUCUCCUGGAUUGAAAGGUUUCAGCCUUACUUUUUGGUCUGGUAAACAAAUCUUGGUUCUCAUCCCAUUUUGUUCUCAUCGCAAUUCUACCAAACAACAAAUCGCUGCACUAGCAUUUUCGUUGUGAAGGGACGCGCUUACGUUCCCACCACCUCCUGUGUGAUGGGGCCUCGAGAGCGAGACCUAGCAAUGCCAAUCGUAUUUGGUCCACUUGAAGAUAAGAGUUGGGGAUAUACCAAAAUAUCCUCAAAGUACGGACAAAGGUAUCUCUAUCUUUCUUUUUUUAUUAUUAUCAUAGUUAUUAUUAUUAUGAUCAUUAUCAUUAUUAUUAUUAUUAUCACUGUUAUUAUAUAUAUAUAUAUAUAUAUAUAUAUAUAUAUGUCUUUUGUAAUUCAUGGUUGACUUUGUAUGUGGUAAUUCUACAAAUUCCACAGGGUUUGGAAUAUACUGAGAUGUUUGGAAGAAUUUGUUUUACAUGAGGGCUUUUGUAUGUGUAUCGAGUGUCGAUGUUUCCUAUCCUCGUCCACACCCUCAUCCUAUGUAUUCAUGCAGUUAAAAUCCUUUUCCACCUCUGCACCACCGGCUUUGGCUGCUUUCCUUAAUGUGUUGCCAGUCGCCAUCACCCUACAGGGACCACUACCACUUGUCAUACUGCCAGCCUACCUCUUGUUCUGCCAUAGAUCAAGAUGGCAAGUCAAAAUUAUCUAGAGCAAAUACAGAUUCUCUUGAUGAGGGACUUACCACCUGUCUUUCUAUAAGCCUCAUCUCAUCUCAUGAGCUGGAGAAUUUUUUCAUGGCCAACUUCUACUUCUACUUUUUAUUUGUUUGGAAGGUUGUUGAUCCUUUGAAAGUUGAUCCUUUGUAGGGUAGUCGCACAAAAUAUUGAUAAUGGAAAUAAGGAUAAAACACUGAUUUGGUAUCUUCAUUGGUGAGAGAGGAAGGUGCGCUAAUAACAUUGUAUGUGACAUCCCACAUUGGAUAAGGGGGAAAGUUUCUGACACUAUAUAAGUAUAGACUCCUCUUAACCAAGUAGACACAUUUUAAAGUUGUGAGAACCCCUUUAGGUCUAAAGUGGGCAAUAUCUAUAUGGUUGGGUGCGGAUCAUUACAAAUGGUAUCAGAGCCUAUCUCUGACCUUGAUGUAAGAGUUUGUUUGGCCCCGUAGGGGUGUUUGUUUGUUUGGUUCCGCAAUCCCAUGAGACACAACAAAGACGUUGUGUCUGCAUGAAAGGGUGUUUGUGACAUCCCACUACAAAAAUGUUGUGUCUACACCACGUGUUUGUAAACGUGUUUUAAAGCCGUGAGAGCUCCUUUAGGUUCAAAGCGGACAAUAUCUACAUGGUUAGGUGCGGGUCGUUACAUUGUAAGACUUACAAAUGAGGUAUAAUUUUGAUUGUUUUUUAGUUUAAUUCCUGGGCGUUCUAGUUGUUAUGGACUUUUUUUUGUAUACUCUUUCGUAUUUUACAUUUGAGCUCUUCUUUUGGGAUGUUUUUAAGGGUAAAAACAAGUUGAACUUCUCAAGGUUAAAUGGCUGAAGUUGACCUGAAAUCAAUCCUGAAGACAAAUUACAUUCCGGGUUAUUAGGAAAGAAAAUGGACCCAAAGAGGAAAGUGUAGCAUGAGAAUAAUGCGCACUACAAUAAUUUCAAGAAGAAUUCAUCAAAGAGGACAAACAAUUAAUCAAAAGUAGUAGUAGUAGUAGUUGUUGUUGUUCGUUUCUCUCCUGACUUGUACAUGUGCCAAAGUUGAAUAGCGACAUAUUUUGAUACCUUUCAUCGGGAGAGGUGGAAUUGAUGAGGAAAUGAACAAUGAAUGAAAAUCAAGCACGAGCGCAAGAGGCCAAACUUCCAACUGGGAAAUAUGUGGUCUUGGGACUGGCUCUUUACAUCCUCACAAUUAUUAAUCCUCCCUCUACCCUCCUCACCAAUGAUUUCCUUACAUAUAGGAUUAAGGCGUUUAAACUAUAUAUAUAUACAUAUAUAUAUUUUUUUUUUGCAAUUUAUAUUUGAUCUUUAAAUACGUUUUUAAUUAAGUUCCACACAAGCGAGUGUUUCCUUCACCAUGUCGUGUGUGGGAGUAUGUAUGGAGGGAUAGAAGGGGUAGAAGGGUAACUGAAGAGGCAAUGACAAGUGUUAUAGAGCGCUUACACGUGACGGCAGAGGAGCCUUUGAAUCCGACUCCACUCAAUACUGCCAAAUGCAUUUUUUGGGGUCUUAGGAACUCCCAAGAUGGAGGUCACCCUCUUGCCUCGAUUUCAUUUCUUGGCAGUUUGCAUACACUCUGCAAUAGAAAAAUAUUAGCCUUUUAAACAUGAUGAAAAUAUCUAUACUUUUUAUGAUUUCACAGAGUAAAAAUAAUUUUCUUUUUUCUGGUGGGAUAUGACCAACAACAAAGGUGUCCAGCCUAGCUUCUGGAAUACUCUCAUUAUUUGCUACAACCAUAUGUUAUGGACGCAUAUCACGCACCCUUGUUUUGCUCUGUUUAGAUCCGUAAUAUUAUAUUCUGCAAUCUGAUAUAAAUAUAUACCAUUAUGGGCUUAUGAAUUGAAUAGUUUUUCAAUCCAUUUUUUGUGAUCUCCAGAACUUUCAUGGUAUCAGAGUACUAGGAUUUUCUGGAGUAUUUUCUCUGCUUUCAAACACGAAGAUGACUUCUCAUUCCUCUUCAUCCCCUGCAUUUGAAGUAUCAUCAACUGUAGCUGCUUCAAUAUCGACUCAGACACCUAUUCAUAGUCCUUUUCAACCUUCCCAAGAACCGAAUCAUGCUUUGUUUAUAAGAUUAAACAAGACAAAUUAUAUUCUUUGACAUUCACAAAUGGAAAAUGCGAUUCACGGCAAUGGAUUUAAAGAAUUUGUUGAAGGGGUAGAAGCCAUGCCCUUCUAAAAUAGAUGAAUUGGAUGUGCAUAAUCCAUAAUUCAUAAUCUGGAGGAGAUUUGAUCAUAUGAUUCUUAGUUGACCUAUUCACCACUCACCCUUGGGAUUACCAUGCAGAUUGUGCGAGACACAACCUCUCACUCUACUAGGAGUGCAUUGAAGAAAAAUUUUUCUACCUCCUUAAGAGCUCGUAUCAUGCAACUAUGGUUGCAAUUUCAAACAUUGAAAAAAGCAUCCUUUGCUUCUGAUGGAGUACACUUUCAAAAUGAAGAGUAUUGCUAAUAGUCUUGCAGCUAUUUUCGAACUUGAGUACAUGACCAUGUGUUGUAGCUCCUUAGAGGAGUAGGUCUUUAAUAUAAAUCUCCGGUGGCUUUCAUCACUAUCUUAGAUAAUGAAGGUUGUCUUGAUUCUUUUCAUGACAUGCUUUUAGCACAUGAACAAUGUCUAGAGUAACAAAAUUCAAUAGAAGCAAAUGUUGCUAUCUCAGCCAGUGUUGUAGCUACUUAAGGUAAAAACUUAAACUAGAAGAGAUGAUGUAUCUUUAAUAAUCCUUGAGGUCCAGGUCACAUCUAGAAUUCGAAUUUUCUAGUGGAAUUCAUCAUGAUAGAACUAAUUUCAAUACUAGUCGCAGUUAAGGAGAAUGAGGCAACAAGUUUAGCAUGCCACAGUGCUAAUUCUAUGGUAAGUUUGAUCACAUUCGAUAUUUGUUACCAUCGUUUUGGUAUUAAUUACUAAGGACAUUAAAAAUGAAAAAUCUAAGGUGUCGUUUGUUGACUUUGGAACAACACAUCACAAGUCUUAGAAUAUUGGGAACCUCUGUAAUGUAUUCCUUCUAUGGAUCUAAUAAAGUGUCUAUGGGUAGUGGUAAGAAAAUUUCUAUUACUAUAUCUAUUGCUUAUGUUGGAACUGAAUUAUUUAAUUCUCCCUCGCAUUUUUUUUUUACAAUUAAACAUGUGUUUCAUGUGCCAAAUCUCUCACUCCCAAUCUCAUUAGUAUAGCCAAAUUCUAUACUAAUAAUCAUGCUUUUAUUAAGUUCUAUUCUAAGACUUUUGUUGUCAAGGAUCAAAUUUCAAGGCAAGCUUGAAAAUGUUUUGUGCAAGAUUCAAGUCUCUGAAUCUACCAAAUUUAGUUUAGCUUGUCAUUCUAAUAAGCCUUUUAAUCAUUUUGUUGUAAUCGUUAAUAAUGCUAUUAUUUGUUUGAUUUCUACCUCUUAAGACUUUUGAUAUUUGACAUUCCCAUUUAGACCACCCUUUUGUUGAAAUUGUAAAGAAGGUGAUCACACUCUAUAAUAGUCAUGUUUGUUCUAAUAAUAGCAUUGUUUGUUUUGCUUGCCAAUAUGCAUAAAAUCAUAGGUUACCAUUUCCUCUUUCUCAAUCCUGUGCUCUUACCCCUUUGGCUUUGAUUCACACUUUACAUUUGAGGAGUUGCACUUGUUGCCACUAUUGGUGCAUUAUACUUCAUUUUAAUUGUGGAUGAUUUUUCUCAAUUUUCUUGGUUGUAUCCUCUACAUACAAAGGAUCAAUCUUUGUUUGUAUUUCUUCAAUUCAACAAAUUUUGUAGAAAACCAAUUUAACACUAUAUCAAAUGUCUCAAUUUGAUUGUGGGAGUGAGUUUAAAGCCUUUUUCCUCAUUCUUAGCCAAUCAUGCAUUGAACAUUGAUUGUCAUACCCUAAAACUUCACAACAAAAUGGUGUGGUAAAAUAUAAGAAUCGUCAUGUUGUAGAAGCCAAGCUAGCCUUUUUAGCUCAAGCAUCUAUAUACUUCAAGUAUUGGUUAUAUGCAUUUCUUGCUAUUAUUUUUCUCAAAAACAAAAUGUUUUCUUCUAUGUUGAACUUUGAACCUUCUUAUUAGGUUCUUUUUGGAUCAAUAUCUGAUUAUCCUUUCUUUAAAUCCUUUGGUUGUCUUUGUUAUCCCCUUAUUUGUCCUUUAAAUAAACACAAACCGUAAUAUCACUCUACCCAAUGUCUUUUUAUCUGUUAUAAAACUUUUCACAAAAGAUAUCUUUGCCUUGAUUGGUCAUCUAGUAGAGUUUACAUAAUUCAUCAUUUUGUCAUUGAUGAAUCUUGUUUCCUAUGGCUAUAGGAAGUCUUACUAAUGUUUCUCUUGACUCAUCUCUUUUCCUUCUUCUACUUGUUUUUCUUCCUAUGCCAUUGCAUUCUCCUUCUCGUGCUCUCUUUAAUCCUUUAAAUCUACUCCUCAUUCUUCUUGAAUUUUACCUACUCCAACCUAUAGUUUUA
Molecule: long non-coding RNA, 37307 nt
Filed under: Vitis vinifera (wine grape)
Lineage: Eukaryota; Viridiplantae; Streptophyta; Magnoliopsida; Vitales; Vitaceae
Description: long non-coding RNA (VVIN_LNC000124)
Source: RNAcentral